Molecule: ribosomal RNA, 695 nt
Filed under: uncultured bacterium
Lineage: Bacteria
Description: bacterial SSU rRNA
Rfam family: Bacterial small subunit ribosomal RNA
Source: RNAcentral
GAGGGGCAGCGGGGUUGUAGCAAUACAACUGCCGGCGACCGGCGCACGGGUGAGUAACACGUAUGUAACCUGCCCUCUGCAGGGGGAUAAGCGGAAGAAAUUCCGUCUAAUACCGCAUAAUACAAUUUGGAGACAUCUCCGGGUUGUCAAAGGAGUGAUCCGGCAGAGGAUGGACAUGCGGCGCAUUAGCUAGUCGGCGGGGUAACGGCCCACCGAGGCUACGAUGCGUAGGGGUUCUGAGAGGAAGGUCCCCCACACUGGUACUGAGACACGGACCAGACUCCUACGGGAGGCAGCAGUGAGGAAUAUUGGUCAAUGGGCGGAAGCCUGAACCAGCCAAGUCGCGUGAGGGAAGACGGUCCUAUGGAUUGUAAACCUCUUUUGCAGGGGAGCAAGGCGCGGUACGUGUACCGCGAAGGAGAGUACCCUGAGAAAAAGCAUCGGCUAACUCCGUGCCAGCAGCCGCGGUAAUACGGAGGAUGCGAGCGUUAUCCGGAUUUAUUGGGUUUAAAGGGUGCGCAGGCGGACUGUUAAGUCAGCGGUAAAAUGUCGGUGCUCAACACCGGCCGGCCGUUGAAACUGGCAGCCUUGAGUGAGCGAGAAGUAUGCGGAAUGCGUGGUGUAGCGGUGAAAUGCAUAGAUAUCUCGGGGAACUCCGAUUGCGAAGGCAGCAUACCGGCGCUCAACUGACGCUC